UAAGGUGGAGGCGUGGCGUACGGCUCAGUAAAACAUGAUUAACCUGCCCUUAAGACGGAUACAAACUCGGGAAACUGAGGCUAAUAUCCGAUAGGUGAGAAUCGCUUGGAAUUAGCGUCUCGCCAAAAGGGCAUUAUAACCAUGCAAUUAAUGCAGCUUAAGGAUGGGAUCAUGCCCGAUCAGGCUGUUGGUGAGGUAAUGGCUCACCAAACCUAUAACCGGUACGGGCCGUGAGAGCGGGAGCCCGGAGAUGGUCCCUGAGACAAGGGUCCAGGCCCUACGGGGCGCAGCAGGCGCGAAAACUCCGCAAUGCGCGAAAGCGUGACGGGGUCACCCCGAGUGUCACCUGCAGAAGGGGACUUUUCCUCGGUGUAAUUAGCCGAGGGAAUAAGGGGAGGGCAAGCCUGGUGUCAGCCGCCGCGGUAAUACCAGCUCCCCGAGUGGUGAGGACGAUUAUUGGGCCUAAAGCAUCCGUAACCGGUCUAGUAAGUUUCCCGUUAAAUCUGGCGAUCCAAUCGUCAGACUGCGGGAAAUACUGUUAGGCUAGGAGGCGGAAGAGGCCGACGGUACUCUUAGGGUAGGGGUGAAAUCCUAUAAUCCUGAGAGGACCACCAGUGGCGAAGGCGGUCGGCCAGAACGCGCUCGACGGUGAGGGAUGAAAGCUGGGGGAGCGAACCGGAUUAGAUACCCGGGUAGU
RNAcentral lists this ribosomal RNA (697 nucleotides) under uncultured marine archaeon. RNAcentral's name for it is "bacterial SSU rRNA". It matches the Rfam family "Archaeal small subunit ribosomal RNA", at positions 68 to 745 of the family's 1478-position model. The record is from RNAcentral.